UGGAUUGCAUCGUUGAAAAGGGAGAAUGCAGCAGACUGGGCAAAGCUAUCCAAACCUUCGUCAAGGACUAUUCCCAAGGUCAAGCGUGCCAGAUCUGCACCGACUGCGAAAUGAGGAGGAUCACGUACGUGCUCGACAAGCUCAAGUGUGACCAUCCCGCAGAGGCCACGAGGCUCACGGACAACCUCGGCUUUGACAUCUUCGCCGUCUACAACGUGGGCAAGACGUGCUGAGUCUCCAGGCAGGCUUGUCAUCUCCUCAGAGGAAAUCGCCCCUCCAAUAAAUUCCAUUCAAAGAA
Molecule: long non-coding RNA, 298 nt
Filed under: Penaeus japonicus
Lineage: Eukaryota; Metazoa; Arthropoda; Malacostraca; Decapoda; Penaeidae
Description: uncharacterized LOC122263881
Source: RNAcentral